CCUACGGGAGGCAGCAGUGGGGAAUCUUGCGCAAUGGGCGAAAGCCUGACGCAGCAACGCCGCGUGAGUGAUGAAGGCCUUCGGGUCGUAAACCUUGAGAACUCGGAUACCUGUACCUUAAGAAGAAGCACCGGCUAACUCUGUGCCAGCAGCCGCGGUAAUACAGAGGGUGCAAGCGUUGUUCGGAAUUAUUGGGCGUAAAGCGCGUGUAGGCGGCCAAGCAUGUCGGGUGUGAAAGCCCUGGGCUUAACCCAGGAAGUGCGCCCGAAACUACUUGGCUUGAGUGUCGGAGAGGAUGGCGGAACUCCCGGUGUAGAGGUGAAAUUCGUAGAUAUCGGGAAGAACACCAGUGGCGAAGGCGGCCAUCUGGACACACUGACGCUGAGACGCGAAAGCGUGGGGAGCAAACAGGAUUAGAUACCCUUGUAGUC
RNAcentral lists this ribosomal RNA (431 nucleotides) under uncultured bacterium. RNAcentral describes it as "partial 16S ribosomal RNA". It matches the Rfam family "Bacterial small subunit ribosomal RNA", at positions 338 to 795 of the family's 1533-position model. The record is from RNAcentral.